AUUAAAAAUGAUAGACCCGAACAAGCCCGAUCCCAUCUGAUCUCGGAAGCUAAGCAGAGUCGGGCCUGGUUAGUACUUGGAUGGGAGACCACCUAGGAAGACCAGGUGCUGUAGAUG
This 117-nucleotide ribosomal RNA is filed under the name Pteropus alecto (black flying fox). Lineage: Eukaryota; Metazoa; Chordata; Mammalia; Chiroptera; Pteropodidae. RNAcentral also lists the same sequence under 1 other name. The record is from RNAcentral.